Long non-coding RNA from Peromyscus californicus insignis, 647 nucleotides. RefSeq lists it as uncharacterized. NCBI's taxonomy places the organism in Eukaryota, Metazoa, Chordata, Mammalia, Rodentia, Cricetidae. The transcript is spliced from 2 exons. The record is from RefSeq and is a predicted model, not a curated record.
UGCUCAAGAGCUUCGGGACCUGAAGGGCGUCAGGACCUCCAAAGGCCAGGGUAUGCCACCCCUUCCAUGGCAGUGCCAGCUGCUACAGCAAGGAAGAGCCAGGGAGGAGGGCUCUUGCAGGGCUCCCGCCCAAACAACCCCACUGCCUCCAAGAAAGCAAGCCCUGGUGUCUGCCCGAGAGAACGGACGGCGCGCGAAUGUGAGGGGUAAUGACGCUAGAGUUGGUGACCGUGACCCUGAACUGAUGGAAAGCAGGACAACUUGUUGAGUUUCACCAGAACUACCUCCGCGCUGGAUGGAACCCUGUUCGUAGUUGACACCUCUAUUUUAAAGACCUUUGCAUGUCAUCCUGUUUUCUCAACUAAAUCAUCAAUUAUUUCAGAUAAAGAAUGCACUUUAUGCGUGUUCAGUCUGCCACGUGGGCGAAUCACAAUAUUGUUUAUGCAAAAGCACUCAGAUUUAAGUAAGUUAAUUAACAAAUGGUUAGCGCUACUCUGGUUCCGGCGCUGAGGAAUGCUGUUUGGGGCCGUUUUCGCCCGGUUCACAGCCCUCAAGAAUGCAGUCAUGAGACAAUUAGAGAGCAGUGCGAGAAAAUCUAUAAUCAACUCCUUUACGGGGUGAGGUAAAGGCUGCUUGCUGCAAGUGUA